AUGAGGCAAUUUCCUGGAAAGCAUUACCAACUAGAAGGAGCAACUGUGAUAAGAGCUGAGGUUCAGCCACUCUUGUACAGCAGCACAUACACGACUAUGAGGUUUCUAGAGACAGGCGCAAGAGAACCCUUGACUUUCUUCUGUAUGGCUAGGUCCUGGUGGUUACCCUUGAUCAAGAUCAUGGUAAAGUAAACUUGAGGAAAUUUACCUGUCCUCCUGGUGAAGUGCUAAAAGUCUAAGUGCCAGCUUUCUAAAAGUCUUUAGAAGGAAUGAGAAACUAAUCUUUCUGUGUCUGAAGACCUAGGGAAUUUAAAGAAAUUAAAGGAUAUGUUUGGAAGAAGGAAAAGCCUGCAGUGUAUGCCAUCAUCAGUUUCUAAUCAUCCCCAGCUCCUCCCCAAGUUCUCGUUUUCAUAAAGAUAAUUUAAAAACAACACGCAAGUGGUUCAGCCUGUCUCUGUGUAUUAUAAUUUGUUUAAUGCCCUGGUACACAAGUAUAGAUUUGGUGGAUUGUUUUUCCUGUAGUCAGAGGACUGACUAGGGUGGAUAAAUUAAUAAGCAGGAGGUUCCUGCAUGUUGGAAUUAGCC
RNAcentral lists this long non-coding RNA (585 nucleotides) under Manacus vitellinus (golden-collared manakin). Its description in RNAcentral is "lncRNA (ENSMVIG00005017330.1)". Lineage: Eukaryota; Metazoa; Chordata; Aves; Passeriformes; Pipridae. The record is from RNAcentral.